GAGAAAGAAAUCCGCCCCGAGAUGCACCUGCAGCCCCGCGCCCAUCCGUGCAUGGCUGCGGCUGUGCGUGCCCGCGAACGGGGACCAGCGGCCGCCGAGUCCGUCCACAUCGCCAGGCCAGGAGUCAGAACAAGGACGGGCCUGUGAUGUGUCUGUCUAUGACGAGGAGGACAAUGUCCUAAGGAAUGGAGAGGAAGAAAGUGAAGGGAACCAGGUCCCUGGAUUCCAUGUGGAACAGUAGCCCAGGAUGUGCACUAUGGACUGUUACAAGAGAGAGACAUGAUCUUCCUUAAGGCAUUGAUUUGUCAUGAGUCUCUUUGUUAUAGCCACUUAACGUUACCUUAAUACACCCACUUCAUGGAUAAGUAAAACUGAGGCUUGGAGAAGCCCACAUUGACACAGCAAAGAAGGCUGGGGCUCUUGUGCUGGUUAAAUGGACCUUGAUGUCUUCCAAAUGUUUUCAUGCUGGAUUCUGAGCCACUCUCCUGGCUGCAACUCUGAGGCCGGGCAGACUUUCCGCUGGAAAGAGAACUCAAAUACUGGUGAGAGGUGGAUUUGAAGCCAGGAGCCCCAGGUUUUGGCUCUGCAGGUUUGCACCCAGCUCUGUGGUGUAUGCCCUCACAGGUCACCCA
RNAcentral lists this unclassified non-coding RNA (632 nucleotides) under Homo sapiens (human). RNAcentral's name for it is "MAPT antisense RNA 1 (ENSG00000282067.1)". Lineage: Eukaryota; Metazoa; Chordata; Mammalia; Primates; Hominidae. The record is from RNAcentral.